UCAACCACUGAGCCAACUAGGCGUCCCAUUUCCCAGGAUCUUUGUCUACUACUGUGUCCUCCACUCCCUACCACCCAUCCGCAUACAUUGUCCUUCCCUUCUUGAAGACAGAGGACGAAUCUAAAAUAAUUUUCCUCAAAACACCUAUUCCUGUUCUUCAUAUAAUCACUCAAAGGAAAGCAAGUAGGACAAUAUUAAAGGGUGGAUUACCUUAUUGCUCUCAAGAAUUUUGUGAGAAAAUACAUUAAACCAAAGGACUGAGCUCUAAUGGCAUAAUCCUAGACAGGCUGGUGGGCAGAUGAGUCAUAAUUAUGGGUUAAAGAGUUUCACUUUUUGCUACUUACUUCCUGAUUCUCCUGCCUAGUUGUAAAGGGGCUCAGGAACAAAAGGUGACACAAGAUGCCUACUGCCAGGUUACAAAUCCCACGUAAGUUACAAACUAUCUCUGAAGUCAGAGAUAUAAGGUCAGUCACUGUUAGGACCUUAAUUCUCUCAUCUGUAAAAUGGGAGGGAUGAUCAUAUCUGUGCUGCCUAGCUUCAGAGAGAAUAAACCCAUCAUUUCCAAGAAAGAAGAUAAACUUUAGACUUCAAUUUAGAUAAAAUUGAAUGUUGUAGUGAUACUUGUCAACCUAAAUUUGUACACUUGUGGAAAAACUACAGUUGAUUAAAAAUAAAAACAAAAGACAUCAGCUACCCAGUUUAAAAUGAUAAUUUUCCAAUCACAAUUAUUAACUGAGCUUCUUUCAUAGUCGAGAAGGAAUGAAUUAUGACCUUAAAACAAAGGUCUUUCCUUGUAAUCCACUUAUUCAAGCCAGAUUUCUAAUUCUUGGGUUAUAAUUUACAGACUAAUGUUUUCAUUAUGCUUUAUCUCAACAAUUCUCUUAAGUAGUUAUUGUGUGCAAGGCACAAUGCGGGGAGGGAAGUGGGGGGUGGAGGAUAUAAUGCUGAGUGAACCAUAGACCCUUUCUGUGAACAGUUUACGAGUAUGGCCCUUGUUGAUUUAAAGGGUAAAUCAGGGGCACCUGGGUGGCUCAGUCGGUAAAGCAUCUGCCUUCGGCUCAGGUCAUGAUCCCAGGGUCCUGGGAUCAAGCACCUAUUGGGUUCCCCACUCAGCGGGGUGUCUGCUUCUCCCCCUGUUCUUGCUCUCUCUCUCUCUCACUCUCUCAACUAAAUUAAUUAAUUAAAUAUUUUUUUAAGAAAUGGCUAAAUUGAAGUUCUGGUUGGAAAUUAAAUAACCCAAGGAGAGAUCAGAGCAAGAGAGCAAGAGACGUCAUGAUGUAAUCAUGAUAGUUCUAGAGAAGGAGGCCUGUUGGACAAGACAAUGGGAUAGGUUAAUCAGUAGAGUGAGCUCAAGCUGGGAAAAAGGAAAGCGAUGCCCAGACUCCUUAAAACAUAUAAACGUUACUUCAUUUUUAUUCUCUUUUGAUGAAGGACAAGGCCUUUGCUCUGUGUGCGGGCCUGUUGUUGGUUGGAGCUCUGCUUAGUCUCUUAAGCCAAACAACAUCGUUCAGAUUCCAGUUUCGGCUUCACUGAGUGGGGCAAGACCUUCAGGAUGUUUGUUUGAUACCAGCCACCAUGGAGCUUUUCCAAAUCACUCAUCUUAAUUUUCAUAGAAACAACUCUUUUAUUUUUUCACUCUCAUAUUUCAUUAGUUUACGUAACAGUUGAUUAAAUUACAUAAUUAAAAUAGCAAGUGGAAUUGCAUAAACAGCUUUUAGAACAAACCACUAGUCUGUAGGAGGCAUUCUGUUCAGUAGACAGACAAGCCAAGCAGAGAUUAAGGGAUGUGCCAGGAGUCUUCAGCCCAGAAGUGCACAGGGGAGAGACCAACUAACAGAGUGGAAAGCCUCCCAUCAUCCAGUGAGUUGGCGAAGUGAAGUCUAGGGCUUCUCCCAUACAUUGAGGUGACUAGUGAGGUAAAAGGAGGAAUUGGUGAUCAAGAAAAGAGGCUCAAUAAAUUAUGGAAUGAAUGGUCUUCAGAGUCACUAAGAGGAAGAAAAUUGAAAAGAUUGCCUGGCUAAUUGAAAAAGAAAUUUGUUUGAGGGCCUCAGGUGGAUAAUGAUGCUUUCCGCUCAUUUGCUGGUUUUAACAUUGUUGAACAUAUCCCUGAUCAUAAGAUCUGUUUUUCCAUAAGGAGUGAGUUGAUAUCACACCAUGAAAAAGGAGAGUAAAAUACCCAGCCCUGAGAGACCAUUUUCCACGUCUUCCCUCUCUCUCUCUUCCACCAUCAGUAAUGAAUUAAGUCAGCUGUCACUGCGUGACUUUGGGACAGAGAAACUAAAGUAAAAGCAAAACCAUGAAAAACUGGUUUUUUGCUCCUUUUCCUGCUUCUAUUCUUGCUGGGACCUACACCCCCACCUUAUAUAAGCCUUAUAAAACAGAUAGUGGCCAUUGCUGCUAGAAACAUCGGGGUGCAGGUGUC
Molecule: long non-coding RNA, 2422 nt
Organism: Canis lupus familiaris (dog)
Lineage: Eukaryota; Metazoa; Chordata; Mammalia; Carnivora; Canidae
Exons: 4
Source: RefSeq, a predicted model, not a curated record